UCUUUUUUAAUUUUCUUUGUGUUUUUUUCUACUUUCUCCAUUAUGCAUGUAUUAUGGUCUUGUUUAAAUCAAAAUUUUAGGGUGUGAUUUUCAUUGAGUUAUUUUCUAUUCUUGCAUGUGUUAGCUAGGGCUUUAGAUAGUUUGUUGAAGUUAAGGUAUCGCUCUGUUCUAUGUUAUAUAUCUCAAACUGCAAUAUGUUAUACAUUUCAUAAUGCAGAUAUUUACUAAUAAUCGAGAUGAUCCGAUUGCUACUCUUUUUAAGGGGAAAAAAAAAAAGGUUUCAUUGUCAAAUUCAUCUUUGAAGGAAACUGUUGCGUUAAUUCCUAACUGUACCAUUUUUUACUAGAUUAUAAAUACAAUGGGUUUUACUCUUUUAAGCUGCAGCUUCAGUUAGAAAUGUUGGCAAGGUAACAAUUGCCGGUUCUUCCUAAGCAAUGUAUUCACUCACUAGAUUUCAAAAAUUAACCUAACUUUACUUUUCAGUUGGAAAGAUUGUGCCUCUUCCUGUUCCAGAUCAACUAAAUUGAAUGACUGAAAAGAGAAUUUGGAAUUGUUUUAGAAUAAGAAUAGUUUUGGACAGGGGUGUAUUGAAGAAGCUCAACCUGGGCAUUUUUGUGAAGAAAGAUGAUAAAAUGGAGCAUCUAACAAUGCAUUUUCACAUACCAAGAACUACGAGAUCGAGGGUCAGUUAUUCAGGGAUUUCACAAAGACCUUGGUAGAUGCAUGUCUCCAUCCAUGUUUGGUAGAGGUAUUCAGGUUUAUUUCAUCAUAUUCCCUCUGUAAGACGGCAAGAUGCUUUAAUUGCGUGCAAAUGAUCUCACAUGUAUAAUGGAACAUUUGCAGGUGAAAGAAGACUCAACAACUAGCUUCUUUAUUACUUCUACAUGCAUGCUUCAGUGUGCACUACAUGGAAGAUGGAACAAAAGUAACUCAAAUUCCUUAAUUGUUUUAUGAGUCUGUGCAUAAAGAUGUCAUAACAAAUUAUCUUAAUCAUUUGUUUAUAGUAGACUUUCCUGGUGCAACACUAUUUCUAAGGAGUUUUGUCAGUGUCAUAUUUUUUGCAUUACUUGGAAACAAAAAUGGCAUCCUUACCAUAUAUUCUUAACUUUCUCAUAUUUUUUA
Molecule: long non-coding RNA, 1122 nt
Organism: Lycium ferocissimum
Lineage: Eukaryota; Viridiplantae; Streptophyta; Magnoliopsida; Solanales; Solanaceae
Exons: 3
Source: RefSeq, a predicted model, not a curated record